RNAcentral lists this ribosomal RNA (253 nucleotides) under uncultured bacterium. Its description in RNAcentral is "partial 16S ribosomal RNA". It matches the Rfam family "Bacterial small subunit ribosomal RNA", at positions 524 to 776 of the family's 1533-position model. The record is from RNAcentral.
UACGUAGGGUGCAAGCGUUGUCCGGAAUUAUUGGGCGUAAAGAGCUCGUAGGCGGUCUGUCGCGUCUGCUGUGAAAACUCGGGGCUUAACCCCGGGCCUGCAGUGGGUACGGGCAGACUAGAGUGCGGUAGGGGAGACUGGAAUUCCAGGUGUAGCGGUGAAAUGCGUAGAUAUCUGGAGGAACACCGGUGGCGAAGGCGGCAUCCUGGACCGACACUGACGCUGAGGCGCGAAAGCUAGGGUAGCAAACGGG